CGUCGGAAAAGUUAUGGAUUCAACUCUCACGGUUGAGGCCUGCUCUGAUUCUUGUGAGCCUCUGAAACGUAACUUACCUAAGAUUUAGACUUGCUCUGAUUCUUAUGAGCCUCCGGAAUGUAACUUACCUAAGUUUUAGAAAAUGCCAUCACUGUUAGAGAUAGUUAGUAAAUAAUUAGUUUGUAUUACUUAAAUGUUAAACUGUAACUAACUUUGACUAGCUGGAAGUUAGUUACUCCUAUCUUUUAUAUAAAGAGAUCUUU
RNAcentral lists this long non-coding RNA (263 nucleotides) under Lathyrus oleraceus (garden pea). RNAcentral describes it as "Pisum sativum (pea) long non-coding RNA (PSAT_LNC041805)". Lineage: Eukaryota; Viridiplantae; Streptophyta; Magnoliopsida; Fabales; Fabaceae. The record is from RNAcentral.